AAACACAGACCUUGCUCCAAUUUUUUGUCGUGUCCCAUCUAGUGAUUUAGGACAUUCUGGUGAUUUCCAUCAUCUCCCCUGCUUCCCCUCUGCUAAGAAUGAUCUGCUGAGUGCUGACAUUGUUUUCCAGUCAUACCUGUCCUUUUUGUGAGCAGCCCUGACCUCUAUUCUUUGAUCUGUGUUUCGUUGCUUCCAUUUCACACAACUUCUUCCUUGUUUUCCCAGCUUCUUCUCUUUUGCAUAACUCUAUUUCUAUUUUACACAGGUAAAUUUUAAAAAAAAUAUUCAGGUACAUAGAUGGGCCGGCACUUUUUUUGUUUGUUUGUAAAUUUAGGUACAUACCUUCAAUUUUAUUUUGCUAUUAGAUUUAUCUUUACACAACUAGCAGACUAAAAUACAAUUUAUUUACAGUUGCCCGCCUAAUAUGAAUUGAGUUUAUUUUAUCUUUUAAAUGGCUAGACCGUACUGAUGUAACUGAAAUUUACAGUUUAUUUAGAAAGGUGAAACUUACAUAUUUGCUGCCUAAAAAAGAGGUUCUUAAUUUCUG
This 547-nucleotide long non-coding RNA is filed under the name Glycine max (soybean). Its description in RNAcentral is "long non-coding RNA (GMAX_LNC001868)". Lineage: Eukaryota; Viridiplantae; Streptophyta; Magnoliopsida; Fabales; Fabaceae. The record is from RNAcentral.